AUCAUGGUGGUGGGAAGAUUUGCAUUUGUCUGGCAAAUGUCAUCUUUAAGCAGGCUCUGUGGCCUAACUACUCAACUGGUGGAGUUUUUCCCCAAGGUUAGAGCCUCUGUUGCAAAAAGGAUGGACAGCGUUUCUCUUCUUGGCCUCUGGCUACCUGGACCUGGAAUUCUUCAGGGGUAUUUUCUCUAUUGCUGGAAGAUCUAGCCUGGAAAUAAUGAUCAUCCUUGCUAUUUAGAAAGUAAGAAAGCAUUCUGUGAGAGGAAG
Long non-coding RNA from Passer domesticus (house sparrow), 264 nucleotides. RefSeq lists it as uncharacterized. The record is from RefSeq and is a predicted model, not a curated record. The transcript has 3 exons. Lineage: Eukaryota; Metazoa; Chordata; Aves; Passeriformes; Passeridae.